CCUGCGGAGGGAUCAUUACUGAGUUAUCUAAACUCCCAACCCUUUGUGAACCUUACCGUCGUUGCCUCGGCGGGCUGUACUUACCCUGUAGCUACCCUGUAGCUACCCGGUAGGUGCGCUCCAAGCCCGCCGGUGGACCACUAAAUUCUAUUUUACUACUGUAUCUCUGAAUGCUUCAACUUAAUAAGUUAAAACUUUCAACAACGGAUCUCUUGGUUCUGGCAUCGAUGAAGAACGCAGCGAAAUGCGAUAAGUAAUGUGAAUUGCAGAAUUCAGUGAAUCAUCGAAUCUUUGAACGCACAUUGCGCCCAUUAGUAUUCUAGUGGGCAUGCCUAUUCGAGCGUCAUUUCAACCCUUAAGCCUAGUUGCUUAGUGUUGGGAAUCUGCCCUGUAUUUAUAGGGCAGUUCCUUAAAGUGAUCGGCGGAGUUAGGGCAUACUCUAAGCGUAGUAAUAUUCUUCUCGCUUCUGUAGUUGUCCUGGCGGCUUGCCGUUAAACCCCUAUAUUUC
RNAcentral lists this ribosomal RNA (508 nucleotides) under Sordariomycetes sp. genotype 1. RNAcentral describes it as "eukaryotic LSU rRNA". The stretch from base 193 to 346 matches the Rfam family "5.8S ribosomal RNA". The record is from RNAcentral. Lineage: Eukaryota; Fungi; Ascomycota; Sordariomycetes.